This 281-nucleotide unclassified non-coding RNA is filed under the name Athalia rosae (coleseed sawfly). RNAcentral's name for it is "misc RNA ENSAEAG00005009348.1". The record is from RNAcentral. Lineage: Eukaryota; Metazoa; Arthropoda; Insecta; Hymenoptera; Athaliidae.
CGACUCGUAUCAUUCCCGCGGUGCGUAUUCGAGUAAAAAUUUUCACGAUCCGUCGGUUUAUUUCGAAACGAAUGACUGAUGACUCGAAGAAUCUAGGGAUAUUAUGGAAACGAACGGAGAAAAUGGCUGUACUCAUUUUACCGUGAGGAUAGUUACCUCGAUAUUUCAAAUAACAUUUCUACAUCGCACGCACGCCGCAUUAUUAGAAAGCCUUCUCCUGCGAGGACGAGUUCUGGGUGUACAACUGAAUCGAAAUAAAGAAAAAAAAAAAAACAAACAAA